CGGCGGACGGGUGAGUAACACGUGGAUAACCUACCUAUAAGACUGGUAUAACUUCGGGAAACCGGAGCUAAUACCGGAUAAUAUAUUGAACCGCAUGGUUCAAUAGUGAAAGACGGUUUUGCUGUCACUUAUAGAUGGAUCCGCGCCGCAUUAGCUAGUUGGUAAGGUAACGGCUUACCAAGGCAACGAUGCGUAGCCGACCUUAGAGGGUGAUCGGCCACACUGGAACUGAGACACGGUCCAG
Molecule: ribosomal RNA, 244 nt
Filed under: uncultured Staphylococcus sp.
Lineage: Bacteria; Bacillati; Bacillota; Bacilli; Caryophanales; Staphylococcaceae
Description: partial 16S ribosomal RNA
Rfam family: Bacterial small subunit ribosomal RNA
Source: RNAcentral